RNAcentral lists this ribosomal RNA (380 nucleotides) under uncultured eukaryote. Its description in RNAcentral is "partial 18S ribosomal RNA". It matches the Rfam family "Eukaryotic small subunit ribosomal RNA", at positions 592 to 976 of the family's 1831-position model. The record is from RNAcentral.
CAAUAGCGUAUAUUAAAGUUGUUGCGGUUAAAAAGCUCGUAGUUGGAUUUCUGCUGAGGACGACCGGUCCGCCCUUCGGGUGAGUAUCUGGUUUGGCCUUGGCAUCUUCUUGGUGAACGUAUCUGCACUUGACUGUGUGGUGCGGUACCCAGGACUUUUACUUUGAGGAAAUUAGAGUGUUUCAAGCAGGCAUACGCCUUGAAUACAUUAGCAUGGAAUAAUAAGAUAGGACCUCGGUUCUAUUUUGUUGGUUUCUAGAGCUGAGGUAAUGAUUAAUAGGGAUAGUUGGGGGCAUUCGUAUUUAACUGUCAGAGGUGAAAUCCUUGGAUUUGUUAAAGACGGACUACUGCGAAAGCAUUUGCCAAGGAUGUUUUCAUUGA